Molecule: ribosomal RNA, 301 nt
Filed under: uncultured bacterium
Lineage: Bacteria
Description: partial 16S ribosomal RNA
Rfam family: Bacterial small subunit ribosomal RNA
Source: RNAcentral
CAGUCGCCACGGUAAUACGGAGGGUGCAAGCGUUAAUCGGAAUUACUGGGCGUAAAGCGCACGCAGGCGGUUUGUUAAGUCAGAUGUGAAAUCCCCGAGCUUAACUUGGGAACUGCAUUUGAAACUGGCAAGCUAGAGUCUUGUAGAGGGGGGUAGAAUUCCAGGUGUAGCGGUGAAAUGCGUAGAGAUCUGGAGGAAUACCGGUGGCGAAGGCGGCCCCCUGGACAAAGACUGACGCUCAGGUGCGAAAGCGUGGGGAGCAAACAGGAUUAGAUACCCGGGUAGUCCCUGUCUUAUACAC